This 253-nucleotide ribosomal RNA is filed under the name uncultured bacterium. RNAcentral's name for it is "partial 16S ribosomal RNA". It matches the Rfam family "Bacterial small subunit ribosomal RNA", at positions 524 to 776 of the family's 1533-position model. The record is from RNAcentral.
UACGUAGGGAGCAAGCGUUGUCCGGAAUCAUCGGGCGUAAAGAGCGUGUAGGCGGUCCUGUAAGUCCGCUGUGAAAGUCAAGGGCUCAACCCUUGAAUGCCGGUGGAUACUGCAGGACUAGAGUCCGGAAGAGGCGAGUGGAAUUCCUGGUGUAGCGGUGAAAUGCGCAGAUAUCAGGAGGAACACCGAUGGCGAAGGCAGCUCGCUGGGACGGUACUGACGCUGAGACGCGAAAGCGUGGGGAGCAAACAGG